This is a long non-coding RNA of Zea mays, 1578 nucleotides long. RefSeq lists it as uncharacterized. Lineage: Eukaryota; Viridiplantae; Streptophyta; Magnoliopsida; Poales; Poaceae. The record is from RefSeq and is a predicted model, not a curated record. The transcript is spliced from 4 exons.
AUGGCGCGAAAGCGGCGGUUCUCCCGCCGCGGCCUGGGGCGAAUGCAGCCCGGCGCGCGGCCGCUCACCCGGAUCGGCAGUGUGGGACCGAUAGGGUACCUGGGUAUUGCUAGUUAUGAAAAAAGGGGAUUCAUUUGUUCAAUCUGGUGGACAUGGUCUAUGGUCCUAGCCGCCUCCAUUUCCAUUCCGAAUCAGCAGCUGUCAAUCAGCCUAAACAUCAACAAUCUGAACAUGGUUUUCAUCGCAUGGUGAAUUGGUGAUGGAGACCAGCACAAGCCGAUGAGCCAGCCAGUUUUCUGCAGGAAAUAGGUUGAUGGGCACCGUAAGUCUUCAGAUCCUUUACGUCUGAAUUUUCAGUUCCGCGAUAAGAUGGUAAAAAAGAAACCAGUGCUUCUUAGCGUGAACGCCUGUCAGUGCUCUAACCUUAGCCGAGAUGUGGAUGCCUGCAUGCCGACGAGCCAACCGAUUCUCCCAAAAGCAUAUGGUGGUGAUAAGGAACGCCGAGGUGAUCAUCUGGGACCUGGCCAGCGGUGGCCAACGGAGAUGCAGAUGAACGUUAUGAGCGACAAGCACCACCCAGUCUGAGUCUCACAUGAUUUGGUCUCACCACCACCACACACUAACGCUGGUCCAAGAGGAGCCAAAUAAAAAUAAAAAGGUGAGGUAUCAAAAGCAGCGUCCACCGGGCAGUGGAUGGAUGGAUAGAAAACUAAAGGCUGCUUUGCUUUGGCCUGUGAGGUGAGGUUAGCAAGCACACGGUGAGCUGAUGAUAACACUUGUCCUGCCGUGGGUCUCAGUGGAGGUACGGUAUCUUGGUGAUCGGCCUCGACCCUGACACCAAGCAUUUUCUUAAGCUUGCCUGAGGUUUGUGAUAAGCUAGGUGGUGUAUCGUCCUUUUCCCUGUUCUGUCAUUACGGCCUGUUUUUGCUCAUAGCUCAGCUGGUGUCACUGAGGUAUAUAUAAUCAGAUUUAUUAUGAAACAUGUUUUCAUAGUAUAUUUAUUUGGUGUCACGUACAGAAGUUGACAAUCUUUUCUACAAAUCUGAUCAAGUUUGAAAUAGAGACUAACCGGUUUUUAACAGUCCAAAUUCUUAAAUUAGUAAUAUCUAAAGGUCGUCUGUGCAAGUUGAGAUAAAGAUCCGAAAAAUUUGGGCCUUGGCCUAACAAAUCUACACAUGCAAGUGCGAUCUGGGCAAUGAUAUUGAUUAGGCCCAACAAAUCUAUUGAGUCUCGGACGCGAGAUCGUGGGAUCAUAAGCUCCUGCACUGCAGUAUUUUCCAACACAUGCAUUUUAUUCAUUCAUUAUAUAUAUUGAUGAUGAUUGACAUGUAUAUCGAUCAGGUAGCAGCACGGAUGGAUGCAUGCAUUUUGUACGUUUCAAUAUGGACAGCAGCACUUCCAUGGGUCACCACGUUUAUCGCAGUAGCCGCCAUUCUUAGCAGGGAAGUUGUACUCUUGGCAAACUUUGCCGCAGUGAAAUGGCGUGCAGUAUUCACGAUCGUAUGGAAAGCAGAAUGGUGGCCGCAACCUGGGGACGACGCCGCCUGCCAAAAAAACGUUGCUCCACCCGUUAUAUAU